GACGAACCGUCCGAACGUUAUUCGGAAUCACUGGGCUUAAAGGGUGCGUAGGCGGCGCGGAAAGUUGGGUGUGAAAUCCCUCGGCUUAACCGAGGAACGGCGCCCAAAACUACCGUGCUCGAGGGAGAUAGAGGUGAGCGGAACUUAGGGUGGAGCGGUGAAAUGCGUUGAUAUCCUAAGGAACACCGGUGGCGAAAGCGGCUCACUGGAUCUCUUCUGACGCUGAUGCACGAAGGUCAGGGGAGCAAACGGG
This 253-nucleotide ribosomal RNA is filed under the name uncultured bacterium. Its description in RNAcentral is "partial 16S ribosomal RNA". It matches the Rfam family "Bacterial small subunit ribosomal RNA", at positions 524 to 776 of the family's 1533-position model. The record is from RNAcentral.